Non-coding RNA from Manis javanica (Malayan pangolin), 1018 nucleotides. NCBI's taxonomy places the organism in Eukaryota, Metazoa, Chordata, Mammalia, Pholidota, Manidae. The record is from RefSeq and is a predicted model, not a curated record.
UGCGCGGGUGCAGCGCCCGCCUGGGAGCCCGCAGGGCGCGCGCGAGGCCCGUCCUGGCCCUCGGGGCUGCCCGCCGGGCAGCGGGCAGCGCGCGGUGCGCGCAACGGGGACAAGCGAUGGCCGGCUCCGUCCCGUGACGGGAGGGGCACGCCGGGCGGCCGCCGGGUGGGUCCGGCUCCCAGGGCGGCCCUCCCCAGGGACCCUACGGCCGGCCCGCCACCGCCCGGCGGGCGCCGGAGAUCCGAGGUAUAACAAGGCAUUGUUAAGUAUGAAGAAGAGUGAUAUCACUUUGAGAUUCAAAUCCAGAAGCUCCCUAAAAUAGACCCCAGCAGAAUUACAAUCUGGAUACAGAUUUAUCUGUCUGGUAUUGUCGCAAUCAGAGGUGCCUAGGGUCAAGGAGAAGAAAGUGGGAAGGACCCCAGUAAGUGCCAUGAGCCACGUGGGAAGAGCUGUCCGCCAGCUGCUGCAAGGCUGUGGCACCAAAGGAGGGAGAAAGGAGGGAGAAGAAAUGCCCAUAUCUCUCUUCCGGCUCUUCUUCCUACCCUGAUGCCAAGCUUCUGCUGGACCCAUCGGAAGCCAGAGGACAAGGGAGCUCAGUCCAACAUGUGAGAAGUCUUUCUCCCUUGAGACCACUACGCUGUGAGGAAGUCCAAGCAUCUGUGCGAAAAAGCCCACCUGGAGGAAAAGCAAGACCCCUGGCUGACAGCCCCAGCAGAGCUUCCAGCCAGCAGCCAGCAUCAACUGCCAGCCGUACGAGUGAGGCCGUGUCAGUCAUUCCACCCUUCUCAGCACCUCAGCCAACACCUCGUCAAUCCACAGAGUAGUGAGAAGUAAUAAAUUGCUGUUUUAAACCAGUUCGUUUGGAAAUAGUUUGUUAAACUACAAUAGAUACUGAAACAGUAUCUUGGGCAAGACUAUCUAGAAAGUAUAUAGUUUACUUCCUUUAUGCAUCUUACACAUAAAUGGUAAGCAGACAUUUUGUUUUGAUGAACUCAACUCUGUUGUCGUAGAAGAAAGA